AAAUAUAUGAAUAUCUUAUACAAGCUAAAAGAGUUUUUAUGAAUGUCUGAAAACUUGAUUCCAGUACGCAAAUACCAAACUUUUGUUUCAACAGUAUUAGAUUCUGAAUUCUGAUUCCAAGGUAUGUAAAGCGUUACAUCAGGGUCUUCUUUAUAACAAUUAUUAUGUUACUCUUCAUUUCCUUCAAUGUCAUGGUUUGGUGCCACCCACUAAUACAAAGAAGGUUAGGAACCAAAUUAUGUUUAGGGAGGUGUUUUUUAUCAUUUGGCUAUUGUAAAUCAUAUUAAAGUUGUUUUAGGGUGGUUUAUAAUUUUGACCAGUGAUUGUAUAAGUUAGAGGACUUCUUGUACCGUUAAAGUAAUUGAAAUUGAAAUUAAGUUGAUUAAUGUUGUAUAACAACUUAAAUUAUUUGAAGAUAUUAAUAAAGUGACGAAAGAUAAAAAAUAAUAAUUUUUAUAAGAUAGUGGAUAAAUUAUCUAUAAUAUUUUAAAUGCAGUUUAAGUUUCAUUAUAUUAAAAAAGAGAAUGUUGUUAGUAUUACUCUUUCUAUAUUUAAUUACAAUAAAAUGAAAAAAAAAUAAAAGCAAAAAUUUAAGACACACCGUCUCUAACAAAAAAAUAAUUCAUAAAUUAAUCCUCACAAUCAUAUAAAAGAGACAUAUUAUUGUGUACAUUAAAAUUCAAAUAAUUAUUUUUAUUCAACUCCUUGGCCACCCUUCCCUCGACGGUGUCUUGUUCUUGAAGAGUAUAAAACAUGUAUUGUGUAUGAUUUGAAACAAAUAUGUAUUUAUUUGAUCAGAAUUAUUAGCCACUAGUCAAUUUUCGCUGGAAGUUUUCAGAGGGACUAACGUGUCCCACACAUAUCAUAAUUAUAAGAAACUAAUUUAGACAUUAUUUUUUUUAGAGACUAUUGAGUUGCACUGAAAUUAUUGGCGACUAUUCCUUCAUAAUAAAAUAUAAUUAAAAAAAUUAAUGUUAAAUUAAAAUUAAAUAUAUAAAAUAUUAAAAUAUAUUUUUAUUUAUAUUUGAUAGUUUGUUUGUCUAGUUUACUUUUAAUUUUUGAUGAGUCUCUAUUAUUUAAAUCUUAAAAAAAUAGAGAUAUUUUAAAAAGUUGAGUCUGGGAAAGGGUGAAGCGGAAAGUGAGAGGAAAAGGAGGAAGAAAAGAAAUGGCGGAAACAAAAGAAACAGUGAAGCACAUAGUAAUCGGAAAGUUCAAAGACGAGAUUUCCGAAGAGAGAAUUGAUGAACUCAUCAAAGGCUAUGCCAAUCUCGUCAAUCUCAUCCCAACCAUGAAGUCAUUCCACUGGUUUGUUUCUGCUACCCCAUUCUUUCUCAUUCUUUCAAUUUUAACAACCCACCUUAGGUCACCACAAUUACCACCUAUUUCUUCACAAAUUACAAAUUAAGGUUGGUUAAUCAAUGAGUACUCUUUUUGUAUAGAUUACAAGAAUAAGUUAAACAUUAAUUAGGGUUUGCUCCAAUUUUCGUUUUUUUUUUUUUUUAAAAGUCUGAGUGAAAUUGCAGAGUUCUAAAAUUAAGAUCUAUCAAAUUUCUGCAUUCUAGCAUCUUUUGCUAUCUGUUAUUUACAUAAGUGAUUAUGAGAAUUGACGUUAGAUUAUUGAGAAAAAUCUGCACUUGAACCUUUUUAUUGGCCUUUAAUUGAAAACAUUUAAAAGCAACAUUAUCUAAUAAUAAUGUUUAUGUUAUUGUGUAUUAUAGGGGCAAGGAUGUUAGUGGUGAAAACUUACAUCAAGGUUAUACUCAUGUAUUUGAAUCAACCUUUGAGAGUGUGGAAGGCAUUGCAGAGUAUGUAGCUCAUCCUACCCAUGUUGAGUAUGCUAAUUUGCUCCUUCCCUCUUUGGAAAAAGUGCUUAUAAUUGACUAUAAGCCCACCUUCGUUAAUCUUUAAUCUUUGAUCGGAUCACUAAUGGAAUAUUCUGUUCAAAAUAAAUUUGGGGGCAAACAAUUUCAUGGAUGAUGAUGGUGUCUCUUAUUGUAUUGGUUCUGCUGUUUUUUUUUUUUUUUUUUGGAAAAAGUGCUUAUAAUUGACUAUAAGCCCACCUUCGUUAAUCUUUAAUCUUUGAUCGGAUCACUAAUGGAAUAUUCUGUUCAAAAUAAAUUUGGGGGCAAACAAUUUCAUGGAUGAUGAUGGUGUCUCUUAUUGUAUUGGUUCUGCUUUUUUUUUUUUUUUUUGUUAAAAAUAAACCAAUUAAAUUCC
This 2217-nucleotide long non-coding RNA is filed under the name Cicer arietinum (chickpea). Its description in RNAcentral is "long non-coding RNA (CARI_LNC002186)". Lineage: Eukaryota; Viridiplantae; Streptophyta; Magnoliopsida; Fabales; Fabaceae. The record is from RNAcentral.